This 2932-nucleotide long non-coding RNA is filed under the name Medicago truncatula (barrel medic). Its description in RNAcentral is "long non-coding RNA (MTRU_LNC008218)". The record is from RNAcentral. Lineage: Eukaryota; Viridiplantae; Streptophyta; Magnoliopsida; Fabales; Fabaceae.
UGUAACGCUCCUAUUUCUAUUAAAGCAAUUAGACAUGCGAAUAAUACAUUUAUUCAAGAAAUAGAGAUUACGUCUUAUUCAAAAUUAAAAAAAAAACGAUAGACAUGUAUGUAAACCUCAACAGUUACAGCGGAAUACAAAUCAGAGUGAUCAAAUAUAUACAUGCCAUGAGCAAAUAAAUCAUAUCCCAAAGAUAAAUCUCAAAACCCAAACAUACGGGUAGUCAUCAACAAAAUAAUAAUUCAAAGGAAAAAAAAUAUAACAACCUAAUCUAGACCGACACGACAAGCCUAGAUCAGAGCCGACACAACACCGAUAUCGGAGGAAGCUCCCGAUAUCCCACGCAAAGACUCACCGAGACUACUCCUGCACAACGUCUACUCACCCAUACAGGCAAGUAGGCGGUUAAAACCAUUGGGGGUAAGCAUUACAUUAUCAUAAUCCAGAUAAUAAUCAAAACAGAUAAUAUCAUGUACUUGAAUAAUAAUAGUCAUGCAUAAAUAUUUACAUCACCACUUGAUAGUUCGUAUCCACAUAUAUCAAUCACAUGAAUAAUUUAUCCAAUCACAAAUAUUCAUUCACAACAUCAAUCAUAGACAAUCAUUAUCAACAUUCAUUCAUCUCAAUUCAUCACCAAUCACAUAAUUCACAUAGGACUCAUGCUAUGAUAUGCACUUAUGGACACAUAAAUGCAUGUGGUACCAAAUCUCAACAAGGUCGUCACCUUUCGAUGCCACUUGCACAUCGAAUGUAAGGGCUCACACCUGCCUUACAAUAAUCUCGAAGUAAAAGAGUCAUCCCUUUUACAGCAACAACGACUAUGAUGCAUGGACAUGUAUAAGGACUCGAUAAUGCGACAACAAUUCACAAUCUCAACUCAAUAUAUAGGACAACACCCAAUUAUAUUGAUUAUCUCCACAACAUUGCAUUAUCAAGAAAACAUGCCCAUACACAAUUAAAUCUUAGUAUUCACCAUCACACUUCAACAUGAUUAUCAAUAAUCAACAAUGUCAUUCAACAUCAACUAUAUCAUAUAGUUUCACCAUUUCAAGCAUUUCUCAUAUUCCAAGUAAGAGAACAUACAACAUCUCAUGACAAACAUCAUAUCCGACAUAUAAUCAUUCAACAUCAACUAUCACAUAUAGCUCACCAAUUCAAGCAUUCUCAUAUUCCAAGUAAGAGAACAUACAACAUCUCAUGACAAACAUCAUAUCCAACAUAUAAUCAUUCAACAUCAACUAUCACAUAUAGCUCACCAAUUCAAGCAUUCUCAUAUUCCAAGUAAGAUAGCAUAUACAUCUCAUGAUAAACAUCAUAUUCAAUACAAUCAUUCAUUCAUACAAUUUCACUUAGUCAUACAAGAAUAAUCUCAAUAACUCACAAGACAAUUUGCUAAAGAAACAUUUCCAACAAAGUCCAAAUCAUGUGGCAAACGGCCAACAUUGAUAAUUUUCAAAGUUAGGCAACUUAUUCAAAUUUGAAAUCCUACAAUUCAAUCUUAAUCAAUCAUGUAGCCAAGGACUUAAGCCAUUUACAAACUAUUAGAAAUUAGUUCAAAGGAUAGCUCAAGUUCGUAUGAGAAAUUCCAAGACAAAACAACAUUUAGCUAAAAACCCGUUUUCACCGAUUCAACUCAGCCCAAAAUAUUUCUUAAACCAUCAACACAUUCACAUUCCCAAAUACAUAAAUGCAUACUCAAUUAUUCACUCUAAGUACUUCAUUAAACCCAAUAUCAAGUUUGGAAAAGUUCCACGGCUCAAAGAAAAAGUUAUGAUAAGUUUUCACAAAAAAUCCGCAUGACCCAUGUGUAGUAAUUUGAUCAUAACUCAAGUUCUAAAAAUCAUUUGGACGUCAACCCAAGGCCAUUAGAAAGCUAACAAAAUUACCUAAAACUUUCAUGUUUACAUCAAAAUCCAAUUCAAAGCGGAAAUGGGUGAAAAAUAGCGAAAUAUGCAGGAUCUGGUUCGCAGAAAUCGUGUCACGACUUUACGUCCAGAAACACUGAAUUUUCGGCCAACAAAAUCGUGACACGCUUACCAAAUCGUGACACGUUUUGCCAGCAUCAAGUCCAGAAAUAAGUUCUUCAAAAAGUGCGUUUUUCACCAUUUCGCGCGUAAAAUUCAAACCGUUAAUCGGAUUUUGAUGCCGUUUUCGCCUACACGCUCCUGACACUUGACUCUAACAUGAUCUACAAAAAUUUCAUGUUUUAACCAUCCCAAAAGUCAUUUUCCAAAACCUCACAUAAUCACUUAUUGGCGAAAACGCUUAAACAUCGACAUUUCACACGAAAAACCCGUUUUCUCCCAAACGACUCAACUAACAUAACCACAACAUGAAAACAGAAAUUCUCAUAGGUUCAAUUCAUCCAACAAUAACAAAAUUUCAGUCAACAACCAUAUAUAUAUAUAUCAAAGUUCACUUUGGUCCUUCACCUGAACACUUAACUCAACUUCACCAAUUUCACAAAACCACCAACAACAAUUUAUUUCUCAUCAUCAAUCCACAAUUAAGUAUACCCAAAUCAUGAUUCACUCACAAUAGCAUCAGUUAACAAUAACCACAUCAAUGGAAUAUGAAUCACAUCUCAUUUCAAUAAAAACAUAUCAAAUUUCAUCAAUUAAGAAUAAUUUCAUAACUUAACAUUUAUACAUACUUUGAAACAUGUAAUUUCACCCACAAACAUACCAUAAUCAUCAAUUCAUGCACAAGAAAAUAGCAUCACAGCAAGAGCACGAAUUUAGCAACAAUUGUUCAUCAACCCAUUUUCAUACAACAUGAGAAAAUGCAAAAAUUGUACAUGAUUAUGAUAAUAACUAACCCCCUUACCUUAGAAGAAGAUUAACCCAAACUCUUGCUUCAAUUUAGCUCCUAAGCUUACCCAAUUGGAUUCUUCAAGUUCUUCUCUCCAAAACCCUUUUUCUCUUCUCUUCAC